Molecule: long non-coding RNA, 814 nt
Filed under: Mus musculus (house mouse)
Lineage: Eukaryota; Metazoa; Chordata; Mammalia; Rodentia; Muridae
Description: long non-coding RNA chr11:69881091-69881905
Source: RNAcentral
AGUGCGAGAGAUGGGGCGAACAGGCUGGACCGGCCGACUGGAGCGGGGGUGGAAUGAUUCACAGGCUUCGUUGCGGAUGUGGCCGCGACGGCCCCGCGUUCCCUGCAGAUGUGCAUGACCUCACUAGUACAACUUAGUCGAGGAUGGAGUCUCCAGUCCAUCCUUCUAGUCUGAGAGAAUCCACGUCUCCGGGUUGGAUCCCGGUCGGGAACUCCCGAGGGGGCGGAUGCUGAGCCAUCGCAUUCCCGGGAUGCCUUCGGGCCAUCCCAGCGAGCCCAGGUUCCCACGCGGUGGCUUCCCUGGUCCCCUGGGCUCGAAAGCCCCUCCCGCCAAGCCACCGGGUGCUAGUCAACUUCCUCCUUUAGAGAAACCCUAGCCUCUUGAGUAACCACGGCUACCCGCACCUGGGUGGCCAGUGUGCCAAACACUCUGCCGGGCCCCCAGGUGGCGCACAGUAAAUGAACUAAGAAAGAAGCCAAGCUGAGAGACUUUAAUGGAGACUUCAAUGGGGCAGGGUGGGGAGGAGCCUGGAAUCACAGAGUAUGGAGGUCGUGACUGCGACGGCUCAGUUUCUCUGGGUCGUCCGACGCCAUGAGGGAGAAGUCUCGGAAUAUGUCGAGAUACGUCUCGUCUCCUAAGGAAAUCAGAGGAAAGACUGGGAGGCUGGACAGCCGGGCUACACAGUAGGGGUGGUCCUGGCAGGGUAAGCACUUUAAAGUGUGGGUGCAUCCUAAGUACAGUACCUUUGUUCCACAGGUCAGGCACGUUCGCUGUGCCCAAAACAUGUUUGUUGAAUAAACAAUGGUAUUAAUGC